CCUACGGGUGGCAGCAGUGAGGAAUAUUGGUCAAUGGCCGGAAGGCUGAACCAGCCAAGUCGCGUGAGGGAAGAAGGUUCUAUGGAUUGUAAACCUCUUUUGUCAGGGAAUAAAGGUAUCCACGUGUGGCUAUUUGCGUGUACCUUAAGAAUAAGCAUCGGCUAACUCCGUGCCAGCAGCCGCGGUAAUACGGAGGAUGCGAGCGUUAUCCGGAUUUAUUGGGUUUAAAGGGUGCGCAGGUUGUUUUUUAAGUCAGCGGUUAAAGUCUGGGGCUCAACCACAGCAUUGCCGUUGAAACUGGCAGACUUGAGUGUGUGAGAGGUAUGCGGAAUGCGUGGUGUAGCGGUGAAAUGCAUAGAUAUCACGCAGAACUCCGAUUGCGAAGGCAGCAUACUAGGCCAUAACUGACGCUGAGGCACGAAAGCGUGGGGAUCGAACAGGAUUAGAUACCCUUGUAGUC
Molecule: ribosomal RNA, 460 nt
Filed under: uncultured bacterium
Lineage: Bacteria
Description: partial 16S ribosomal RNA
Rfam family: Bacterial small subunit ribosomal RNA
Source: RNAcentral